CACAUGCAAGUCGAACGAUGAAGCCUGUAACUUGUUGUGGGUGGAUUAGUGGCGAACGGGUGAGUAAUACGUGAGUAACCUGCCCUCCUUUUUGGGAUAAGCCUUGGAAACGGGGUCUAAUACCGGAUAUUCUGGCAUGCUCGCAUGGGUGUGUUGGGAAAGCUUUAUGUGAAGGGGGAUGGGCUCGCGGCCUAUCAGCUUGUUGGUGGGGUGAUGGCCUACCAAGGCGGUGACGGGUAGCCGGCCUGAGAGGGUGACCGGCCACAUUGGGACUGAGAUACGGCCCAGACUCCUACGGGAGGCAGCAGUGGGGGAUAUUGCACAAUGGGCGAAAGCCUGAUGCAGCGACGCCGCGUGGGGGAUGAAGGCUUUCGGGUUGUAAACCUCUUUCGCUAUCGAACAAGGCUCAUUUUUUGGUGGGUUGAGGGUAGGUGGAGAAGAAGCGCCGGCUAACUACGUGCCAG
This 464-nucleotide ribosomal RNA is filed under the name Actinotignum schaalii. RNAcentral's name for it is "bacterial SSU rRNA". It matches the Rfam family "Bacterial small subunit ribosomal RNA", at positions 52 to 511 of the family's 1533-position model. Lineage: Bacteria; Bacillati; Actinomycetota; Actinomycetes; Actinomycetales; Actinomycetaceae. The record is from RNAcentral.